GACGAACGCUGGCGGCGUGCUUAACACAUGCAAGUCGAACGGUGAACUCCGCUUGCGGGGGGGUCAGUGGCGAACGGGUGAGUAACACGUGGGCAACCUGCCCUCAGCUCUGGGAUAACUCCAAGAAAUUGGGGCUAAUACCGGAUAUGACCGCUGACCGCAUGGUCUGGUGGUGGAAAGAUUUAUCGGCUGGGGAUGGGCCCGCGGCCUAUCAGCUUGUUGGUGGGGUAGUGGCCUACCAAGGCGACGACGGGUAGCCGGCCUGAGAGGGUGACCGGCCACACUGGGACUGAGACACGGCCCAGACUCCUACGGGAGGCAGCAGUGGGGAAUAUUGCGCAAUGGGCGAAAGCCUGACGCAGCGACGCCGCGUGGGGGAUGACGGCCUUCGGGUUGUAAACCUCUUUCAGCAGGGACGAAGCGAAAGUGACGGUACCUGCAGAAGAAGCACCGGCCAACUACGUG
RNAcentral lists this ribosomal RNA (465 nucleotides) under uncultured bacterium. RNAcentral's name for it is "partial 16S ribosomal RNA". It matches the Rfam family "Bacterial small subunit ribosomal RNA", at positions 28 to 507 of the family's 1533-position model. The record is from RNAcentral.